CGGACGGGUGAGUAACGCGUGAGAAUCUGCCUUCAGGUCGGGGACAACCACUGGAAACGGUGGCUAAUACCCGAUGUGCGCAACGUGAAAGAUUUAUCGCCUGAAGAGGAGCUCGCGUCUGAUUAGCUAGUUGGUGGGGUAAAAGCUCACCAAGGCGACGAUCAGUAGCUGGUCUGAGAGGAUGAUCAGCCACACUGGGACUGAGACACGGCCCAGACUCCUACGGGAGGCAGCAGUGGGGAAUUUUCCGCAAUGGGCGAAAGCCUGACGGAGCAAGACCGCGUGAGGGAGGAAGGCUCUUGGGUUGUAAACCUCUUUUCUCAGGGAAGAACACAAUGACGGUACCUGAGGAAUCAGCCUCGGCUAACUCCGUGCCAGCAGCCGCGGUAAUACGGAGGAGGCAAGCGUUAUCCGGAAUUAUUGGGCGUAAAGCGUCCGCAGGUGGCACUUCAAGUCUGUCGUCAAAGACUGGGGCUUAACCCUGGAAAGGCGGUGGAAACUGAAGCGCUAGAGUGUGGUAGGGGUAGAGGGAAUUCCCGGUGUAGCGGUGAAAUGCGUAGAGAUUGGAAAGAACACCGAUGGCGAAGGCACUUUACUGGGCUAUUACUAACACUCAGAGACGAAAGCUAGGGUAGCAAAUGGGAUUAGAUACCCCAGUAGUC
RNAcentral lists this ribosomal RNA (662 nucleotides) under uncultured cyanobacterium. Its description in RNAcentral is "bacterial SSU rRNA". It matches the Rfam family "Bacterial small subunit ribosomal RNA", at positions 99 to 795 of the family's 1533-position model. The record is from RNAcentral. Lineage: Bacteria; Bacillati; Cyanobacteriota.